Molecule: ribosomal RNA, 430 nt
Filed under: uncultured bacterium
Lineage: Bacteria
Description: partial 16S ribosomal RNA
Rfam family: Bacterial small subunit ribosomal RNA
Source: RNAcentral
AACGAACGCUGGCGGCAGGCUUAACACAUGCAAGUCGAACGCCCCGCAAGGGGAGUGGCAGACGGGUGAGUAACGCGUGGGAACAUACCCUUUUCUACGGAAUAGCUCUGGGAAACUGGAAUUAAUACCGUAUACGCCCUACGGGGGAAAGAUUUAUCGGGGAAGGAUUGGCCCGCGUUGGAUUAGCUAGUUGGUGGGGUAAAGGCCUACCAAGGCGACGAUCCAUAGCUGGUCUGAGAGGAUGAUCAGCCACAUUGGGACUGAGACACGGCCCAAACUCCUCGGGGGGGCGGCGGUGGGGAAAUUUGGAAAAUGGGGCGAAGCCUGAUCCAGCCCUGCCGGGGGGGGGAUGAAGGCCUUGGGGUUGUAAAGCUUUUUCACCGAUGAAAAAAAUGCCGGUAGUCGGAAAAGAAGCCCCGGUUAACUUCGU